GACGAACGCUGGCGGCGUGCUUAACACAUGCGAGUCGAGCGGAAAGGCCCUUCGGGGUACUCGAGCGGCGAACGGGUGAGUAACACGUGAGUAACCUGCCCCAGACUUUGGGAUAACCCUCGGAAACGGGGGCUAAUACCGGAUACGACACAGCUUCGCAUGGGGUCUGUGUGGAAAGUUUUUCGGUUUGGGAUGGGCUCGCGGCCUAUCAGCUUGUUGGUGGGGUGAUGGCCUACCAAGGCGACGACGGGUAGCCGGCCUGAGAGGGCGACCGGCCACACUGGGACUGAGACACGGCGCAGACUCCUACGGGAGGCAGCAGUGGGGAAUAUUGCACAAUGGGCGGAAGCCUGCUGCAGCGACGCCGCGUGAGGGAUGACGGCCUUCGGGUUGUAAACCUCUUUCAGCAGGGACGAAGCGUAAGUGACGGUACCUGCAGAAGAAGCGCCGGCCAACUACGUG
Molecule: ribosomal RNA, 462 nt
Filed under: uncultured bacterium
Lineage: Bacteria
Description: partial 16S ribosomal RNA
Rfam family: Bacterial small subunit ribosomal RNA
Source: RNAcentral